This 971-nucleotide long non-coding RNA is filed under the name Homo sapiens (human). Its description in RNAcentral is "non-protein coding lnc-ZHX2-6:5". Lineage: Eukaryota; Metazoa; Chordata; Mammalia; Primates; Hominidae. The record is from RNAcentral.
GAGACCUUGGGGAACAAUUUUAAAGUGGCUCAAUAGCGAUCGCAGAGCCAAACUCAUACCUACAUCAAUGUGGUGCAGAGAAUCUCUAAGAAUUUUUAAUGCUGAAUUGGAGCAAAGAAACUUCAAGGAGGAAGCAAAGUGAAGAACACAGAUUUCACAGAUGGGAUGCCUGGCUCAAAUUCCAGCUUGACCGCUGGUAGCUGUGUGACCCUCGGCAAGUUACUUGACCUCUCUCUACUCAGUGUCCUCAUCUGUCAGUGUAAUAUGAAUCAGAAAACAUGAACUCAGACUGAUGCUGGAAGCCACCUUAUGACUAUAAGCAGAAUCAGCCUCGUUAUGACGUUGAUGCUAUAAGCAACGGACUGAAAGAUACAAAGAGCAAGCAGACAGGAUGGAAGCUAGACCAAGAAUGAAGUUAAUGCAUGGAUUAGGGAGAAACAAAGUGAAACUUAGCAAAACUGAUCCAGGACCCUGAUGACACGUGAAUGGAUCUGAUUCACGAUUUUGGUAUCUGACUGAUGCUGUCUUCGUGGAAUGAGUUAGGAAAGAGUCCCUCCUCGUCAACUGUUGGGAAUACAUUCAGCAGGGUUGGUAUCAUUGCAUGUCUGGCAGAAUUUGACUAGGAAUCCAUCUGGUCCAGGAUUUUUUUUGUUGGUGUAAUGAGAUUCACUGAAGAAUUCUCAGAGUGGAAUGAGCAACAGAUUUUCAUUAGCGAAAGCUCCUCUAGCUGCUGCAUGAAAUGAUGUCUAGACAGAGAAAUGCGUAAAUGGCGACAGUAGAGCCAGCCUUCAUGAAUCCAGAAAUGUGAGCCACAUUUUGAGGAUAGCAGAGUCACUGCAGAAGCCUGGAUCCUUGCAUAACCUUGUCGAGUGGGAAAAUCUACCCAUACUUGACCAACCACCUAACUGGGGGCUCUACAUCUGAGAGAAAUGAUUUUUUAUCUUAUUUAAGCCACUGUAGUUAGGAGUCAG